AAAAUAGUAAUUUAUCAGAAUAUUUGACUUGCACUCAAAAUGAGCCUUGGCCUAUUUUA
RNAcentral lists this transfer RNA (59 nucleotides) under Eurythenes maldoror. Its description in RNAcentral is "tRNA-Ala". The record is from RNAcentral. Lineage: Eukaryota; Metazoa; Arthropoda; Malacostraca; Amphipoda; Lysianassidae.